RNAcentral lists this long non-coding RNA (1626 nucleotides) under Canis lupus familiaris (dog). RNAcentral's name for it is "lncRNA (ENSCAFG00030005421.1)". Lineage: Eukaryota; Metazoa; Chordata; Mammalia; Carnivora; Canidae. The record is from RNAcentral.
ACAAAACAAAACAAACUAGGAAGUACUUGUGGUCCUAGGCUGUCCGCGAGCCGCUGCCCCCCCUCCUCUUCCCUCCCGCCCACCGCUCUGACUCCUACCUGCACCCCUCUUCUCAGGGCCCCUCUCCCCUCCUCCUCGCCCCUCCAUCUCAUUUCCUCCCCUCCAUCCCCCUCCUCUCCUGCCCUCCCUUCCCCUCCCUCCCGUCCUCUCCCCUCCCUGUCCUUUCCCUCUCCUCCUCUCCCCUCCCCUCCCCCUUUCCCCCUCCCUGCCCUCCCCUGCCUUACCCUCCCCCUCCUGCCCUCCCCUCCUCCUCCUUUCCCCUCUCUCCCUCCCCCCCUCCCCUUUUCCCUUCCUCUCCUCCCUUUCCCCCUCCUCCCUCCCCAUCCUCUCCCCUCCCCUCCCCUCCGUUUCCCCCUCCCCCUGCCUCCCCUUCCCUCCUUGCCCUCCCCCCCUCCUCGUCCUCCCCUCUCCUCCCUUUCCCCCUCCUCUCCCUUCCCCUGCCCUCUGCCCCCUCCCUUCCCUUUCCCCCUCCCCUCCCCCCUCCCCCUCCCCUCCCCCCUCCCCCCCCCCCCGCUCCUGCGCAGGCGCGCCGGGGCCGCGCGCGGAGACCUGGGAGCGGGCGGGGCGGGCGGGGGUGUGGCCAGCGCCGGGCCCCAACGGCCGACGCGUCCGCGCGGGAAGUCUCGCGCCAGGCCCCGCCCGCGGUUUGAACCGGAGGCCCCGCCCCCGCGCUCGGCCAAUCAGCGUGCGGGGCGGCCGGCGCCUGGCGACCCUUUGUGGGCGCGGAGCGGCCCCGCCCCCCGCGGCCCCGCCCCUCGGUCGGCGGCGGGCUCGGGCUCGGGCUCGGGCUCGGGCUCGGGCGGGGACGGCGGGGACGGCGGGGACGGCGGCGGCCAGGUGAGCGGCGGGCGGGCGCCCCGGGUCGGGUCGGGGGCGGGUCGGGGGCGGGUCGGGGGGGCCCGCGGCCCGGGGGUCGCCGCGCGGCCCGGCCCUGCCCUCCCGCCGAGCCCACCUGCGCGCCGGCUCCUUGUCCUUUGUGUCCCGGCCUCACCGCUUCGAGGGGCCUCGGGGCGCGGGUGCUGCGGGCCGGGCCGGGCCGGGCCGGGCCGGGGCGGGGCGGGGGCGGUCAGCGGCCCGGGGCACGGACUUUCUGGGCAAGUUUUGCCGUGUUUUCCACCCGAAGCGGAAAUGCAGGAUGCAAAGUCCCGCUUUAGCAUCUCCCGAGAAGGAACCGUGUCUCGGAAGGGCGCCAGGAAGUGUCCCCCAGCGUCCGGACCGGGUUUCCAGGCCCAGACACUGUAUUUCACCCCAGGCCCAGGAGCAGCAGCCGCGGCAGACGCCCCGCGGGGACCCCAGGCCCUUCUGCAGCCGCCCUGCCUGCCGGUCUUCUGGGAUGACAUAUUUCGGAGACCGCCUGAGCGUGUGACCGAAGCGUUCACGUUAUUUUGCCUGAAAGACCUGAGUCAGGAGCGAGCUUGCGGGUGGCUGAAGGUCGUAGGGAUGCGCCAGGUCAGGGCCGAGGCUGCCCCAGGCCCCCCAGGCUCUGCCGGCAGCCUGGGCUGCUGGGCACAUACGGGAGAGCCGCUGCAGGACGGGGAGGUCCCCUUUGUCUUGGGGGCGCCCUGA